CGGCGGCCGCGCGUUGCUUCGCUGCCGGCGGGGAAACGCGCUUUUAAUGCGGAGGGGAACGCACGCCGCCAGUCCGACGGACGACGCUUCAAACCCCACACUCACAAAAUGCAAAGAUCAAUGAGGAGAAAGGUCGUUUGAACAACCAAGCUGCACACACCUCAGAUUAAAACAAAGAUUCCUGGAAAAGCAGACAGACUGGAGAAGGAGUGUCCCAAGUCUGCAGGAGAAUCACAAGCCCAACUACGCAAGAAAUCUGUCUACAGAUGAAACAGUUUUUAAAUCUGUCAUCACAACUUACAUUCUGGUGUAGGCUUCACAUCUUUUAAUUGCUGCUGAAGUCUCUUCACGUUAUUUUGUAUUUUUGAUAGCUGCUGCAGGAUUUUAGCUUCUGUUAAACAAAUUAAGGUGCUGAUAGUUCCAGUAGUUUCUUUGUGCAUUAAAUUCAAUACAAUAACAAGAGCAAUGAAGUGUCCAAAAUAAACUGUGGAUUUCGUCUAA
Long non-coding RNA from Aquila chrysaetos chrysaetos, 501 nucleotides. RefSeq lists it as uncharacterized. The transcript is spliced from 3 exons. NCBI's taxonomy places the organism in Eukaryota, Metazoa, Chordata, Aves, Accipitriformes, Accipitridae. The record is from RefSeq and is a predicted model, not a curated record.